UACGUAGGGCGCAAGCGUUGUCCGGAAUUAUUGGGCGUAAAGAGCUCGUAGGCGGUUUGUCGCGUCUGCCGUGAAAACUCGAGGCUCAACCUCGAGACGUCGGUUGAAACCGUCUGGCUAGAGUCCGGAAGAGGAGAGUGGAAUUCCCGGUGUAGCGGUGAAAUGCGCAGAUAUCGGGAAGAACACCCGUGGCGAAGGCGGCUCUCUGGGACGGUACUGACGCUGAGACGCGAAAGCGUGGGGAGCGAACAGG
RNAcentral lists this ribosomal RNA (253 nucleotides) under uncultured bacterium. Its description in RNAcentral is "partial 16S ribosomal RNA". It matches the Rfam family "Bacterial small subunit ribosomal RNA", at positions 524 to 776 of the family's 1533-position model. The record is from RNAcentral.